CCUACGGGAGGCAGCAGUGGGGAAUAUUGCACAAUGGGCGAAAGCCUGAUGCAGCGACGCCGCGUGAGGGAUGAAGGCCUUCGGGUUGUAAACCUCUUUCAGCAGGGAAGAAGCGAAAGUGACGGUACCUGCAGAAGAAGCGCCGGCUAACUACGUGCCAGCAGCCGCGGUAA
Molecule: ribosomal RNA, 173 nt
Filed under: uncultured bacterium
Lineage: Bacteria
Description: partial 16S ribosomal RNA
Rfam family: Bacterial small subunit ribosomal RNA
Source: RNAcentral